This 257-nucleotide ribosomal RNA is filed under the name uncultured bacterium. Its description in RNAcentral is "partial 16S ribosomal RNA". It matches the Rfam family "Bacterial small subunit ribosomal RNA", at positions 524 to 776 of the family's 1533-position model. The record is from RNAcentral.
UACGGAGGGUGCGAGCGUUGUCCGGAAUCAUUGGGCGUAAAGGGCGCGUAGGUGGCCCGGUCAGUUCGUGGUGAAAGCGCGGGGCUCAACCCUGCGUCGGCCAUGAAUACUGCCGCGGCUGGAGCACUGUAGAGGCAGGCGGAAUUCCGGGGUGUAGCGGUGGAAUGCGUAGAGAUCCGGAAGAACACCGGUGGCGAAGGCGGCCUGCUGGGCAGUUGCUGGACACUGGAGGCGCGACAGCGUGGGGAGCAAACAGG